This 301-nucleotide ribosomal RNA is filed under the name uncultured bacterium. RNAcentral's name for it is "partial 16S ribosomal RNA". It matches the Rfam family "Bacterial small subunit ribosomal RNA", at positions 509 to 809 of the family's 1533-position model. The record is from RNAcentral.
CAGUAGCCGCGGUAAUACGUAGGUGGCAAGCGUUGUCCGGAAUUAUUGGGCGUAAAGCGCGCGCAGGCGGAUCGGUCAGUCUGUCUUAAAAGUGCGGGGCUCAACCCCGUGAGGGGAUGGGAACUGUAUGCCUUGAGUGCAGGAGAGGAAAGCGGAAUUCCCAGUGUAGCGGUGAAAUGCGUAGAUAUAUGGAGGAACACCGGUGGCGAAGGCGACUUUCUGGACGAAAACUGACGCUGAGGCGCGAAAGCCAGGGGAGCGAACGGGAUUAGAUACCCGCGUAGUCCCUGUCUCUUAUACA